RNAcentral lists this long non-coding RNA (207 nucleotides) under Ananas comosus (pineapple). RNAcentral's name for it is "long non-coding RNA (ACOM_LNC042069)". The record is from RNAcentral. Lineage: Eukaryota; Viridiplantae; Streptophyta; Magnoliopsida; Poales; Bromeliaceae.
AACAACAAUUAUCUCGAAAGAGUAAAAAUGAUCAAACUUUAAACCCCAGCUGGCACCAGUCGACUGAUGAUCAAAGGAAAGACUCGAUCGUGGAGAAAAAGGAAAAACCUCCGAGUAUUAGGAUCGAUGACGCAAAAGUGGCAGAAAGGUCACGACACCAGGACGUGCAAGUUUAUGAAGGAAAAGUAAAAGCUCCACUCAUUGAAG